Caenorhabditis elegans is the source of this 21-nucleotide non-coding RNA. Lineage: Eukaryota; Metazoa; Nematoda; Chromadorea; Rhabditida; Rhabditidae. The record is from Ensembl.
UUAUUUAUAUGAUUUUUGCCA